UAUAAGUCCCGUCGUCGCCUUCAUGUGCGGUGGUCACAUGCCACACAUGAACGACGACGUGACGCCGC
Molecule: microRNA precursor, 68 nt
Filed under: Aedes aegypti (yellow fever mosquito)
Lineage: Eukaryota; Metazoa; Arthropoda; Insecta; Diptera; Culicidae
Description: microRNA aae-mir-11918 precursor
Source: miRBase by way of RNAcentral